AUGAAAUCCAUCACGAGAGCCCUCUGCACUCGCCUUCAGCGGCACAUCCACUCCUUGGUGGACCCCGACCAGACGGGGUUCCUUCCCGGAAGGCGCAUCUCGGAGAACAUCGUGUACGCUGCGGACCUCCUCCGUGCCUGCCAUGUGCGUAAGGUCCCCACUGUAGUGUUUAAAAUCGAUUUCCGCAAAGCCUUUGACUCUGUCAACUGGUCAAGCCUUCUCACGAUCUUGUCUGUGCGCGGGUUUGACGAACGUUGGUGCGGAUGGAUCCAUGCCAUCCUCUCAACCGGGCACACGUCGGUUCUCCUUAAUAAUGUUCCCGGG
Molecule: ribosomal RNA, 324 nt
Filed under: Triticum aestivum (bread wheat)
Lineage: Eukaryota; Viridiplantae; Streptophyta; Magnoliopsida; Poales; Poaceae
Description: partial small subunit ribosomal RNA
Source: RNAcentral